This is a long non-coding RNA of Bufo bufo (common toad), 147 nucleotides long. RefSeq lists it as uncharacterized. The transcript has 3 exons. The record is from RefSeq and is a predicted model, not a curated record. NCBI's taxonomy places the organism in Eukaryota, Metazoa, Chordata, Amphibia, Anura, Bufonidae.
AGUUAAAGGGAACCUGUCAUCAGGGCCACAUAAAUAAGUAACUGAUUCUCGUAGCAAAAUGCUGGGUCACUUUCUUUAAUUGACCCAGUCAAUCUGCCAACAUCUUGUAUUGAAAAGCUCCAGCUGAUAAUGAUGAGUCAUGAAUAU